This 928-nucleotide unclassified non-coding RNA is filed under the name Hevea brasiliensis (rubber tree). The record is from RNAcentral. Lineage: Eukaryota; Viridiplantae; Streptophyta; Magnoliopsida; Malpighiales; Euphorbiaceae.
UCCAAUUUGGUUCUCAUUAGUUGCUUCUGAUGAUCAGGAAGAAGAUGCACUCUUGCCACAGAUAUCUUCAUGCUACUUGAGGGUUAAGGAUGGCAAUUUACCCGUUUCAUCUAUUAAAAAGUAUCUGGUGCAAAAGCUGGGUCUUGCUAGCGAGGCUGAGGUAGAAAUUUCACUAAAUGGCCAGCCGGUGCUUUCUACGUUGCAGUUGCAUCAUUUGGUAGACAGGUGGUUGCAGAUGGCACCAACAGCCGAAAGAAUACGGACAAGUGUUGGCAGCUCAGCGAAAGAGUUUGUGAUGGUUCUGUCAUAUGGUCGAAAAACUCAUCCUCCAUGAAAUAUUUGGUUCAUGGUCAUGCUUCAUUCAAUGGCAUGGCAGCAGUGAUUUCAAUCCAGUUGAUCUAAGACAUCUAUUUUUUUGCCACCAUGCAAUCGCGUGUUGGAACGUGGAAAUCCAAAUUUCUCGUCUUCAUUACGAAUGUAAACAGGUUCAAUUUGCUAUGACAUGUGGUGCAUAAACUGUUCUUUUACAUUCGUGGAUUUUCCUUGUUUAGUAAAGGUAUAGAAAUAGUAGAAAUUAUAGAGAAAUACAGAAACAACAGAGAAUAGAAGAAUACUGAUUUUCAAUUCACAAGCUGAGAGAUUUUGGUUUGAUUAAUGUCAGAAUCCAUUGAACAAAGGUCGCUGUAAGAAAGCAGGACAUGCACAGGAUUCAUGUCGCUCGCCUAACAAGUUGAGAUGAGAUGAUAUGAUCGUCUUAUAAGAUCUGAAAGUCAAAUUUUCGCUGAGCACUCUGGAUUAGCUGUGAACUCCCUUCUGUGCUGAUGCCGGCACGGGCAUAUUUACUGAAAACUAGAAGGAAAAUGUAAUAUUUUCUCCAUGGUUGAAUUUAUAUGCUAAAGUAAAAACUUUUCUUUCUUUAAUUUGCGCA